RNAcentral lists this ribosomal RNA (255 nucleotides) under uncultured bacterium. RNAcentral's name for it is "partial 16S ribosomal RNA". It matches the Rfam family "Bacterial small subunit ribosomal RNA", at positions 524 to 776 of the family's 1533-position model. RNAcentral also lists the same sequence under 1 other name. The record is from RNAcentral.
GACGUAGGUGGCGAACGUUAUCCGGAAUUAUUGGGCGUAAAGGGUGCGUAGGCGGCAUGAUAAGUUAUUGGCGGCAAAUCGAGGCUCAACCUCGUGGAAACUGAUAAUACUGUUUUGCUUGAGUACAGGAGAGGUUAACGGAACUCCAUGUGGAACGGUAAAAUGUGUAGAUAUAUGGAAGAACAUCAAUAAGGCGAAGGCAGUUAACUAUUCUGUUACUGACGUUGAGGCACGAAAGCGUGGGGAGCAAAACGG